Molecule: long non-coding RNA, 1035 nt
Organism: Rosa rugosa (rugosa rose)
Lineage: Eukaryota; Viridiplantae; Streptophyta; Magnoliopsida; Rosales; Rosaceae
Exons: 5
Source: RefSeq, a predicted model, not a curated record
AAAAAAAAAAUUUAUUAUGCUUUGGUUGCCGCCGGGCCUAGCAGCUAUCCUUACUGUAGAUCUCUUGAAACAAUAUGAAACAAUCAUAAAUAGGGAUAUGGGUAUCAUAUCCCAUAUAAACAGGGAUAUGGGUAUUCCAUGAAAGAAAAACAGAGAAAAAAGCUACCCCAAUAUCCAGAAGCAAGAUGAACUGCCAAGGCGCACGACCUGAAGAGGAAUAGAAACUGUCGACGGCGUGAGAGGUGGAUAUGGCUUCACCGCCAUUCACUCUUAUCUCUAUUUACCAUUCCCUUUUUGAAAGUGAAUCCAAAAAGGUGGAGCGGGAAAACAAACCCGAAAAGAAUAAUAUCAUAAUCAAUUCAGAGUUCACAAAUCUACGAAACGGUAAAAAUAUCAGAAAUUUCUGAAUAACGUGAAAGUUGGUGUUUGUUAAUAUUGGAUCCAGAGUAGGUACUAUUUGAGAAUGAGAUUGAAACUGUAAGAUCGCACAUACUUGGAAGCAAAGGCCAAAGGCGCAGGAAGUGCAUGGGAUACUGGUGGAUUGCAACAAGUGACUUCCAAACUUCAGUUUGCAGAGUCCACUCUUUUUGUUGAGGUACAUGAUGAACAUAUAGAUGUGGCCUACAGUCCAAGAUCUGGCAUGAGGCCUUCAAAAGAUACUGAAAUGCAGAAACAGAUUGACAAGAAACUUGGCUACAUGCAUAGUAGAUCUCUUGAUGAAACAUAUGGCACUGAGCUGCAUAGUCUCCCUAACCAGUUGCAGACAGCAGGUAGCCUACCUGGGAGCUUUAAUUAUAUGGUGGAGGAAUGUUUAGAUGUGGAUUUUAAUCCAGAUUGGUGGUGGCAAAAUUACUUGGGCAAAAUUUACCUUUUCCUUUAUAUGAGAGCUAAGUACCUUUAUGACAGCUAGUACUAUUUAAGUUUCUUUUACUUUUGCAAACUUCACUCAAAAAAUUUCAAUUGAGAAAGCAUUGUAAAUGUGAUUACUUGAAAUACUUCUCUAUAUAUUAAUAUAUUGCAAUUUCAUUUCAAUUU